AUUGAACGCUGGCGGCAGGCCUAACACAUGCAAGUCGAACGGUAGCACAGAGAGCUUGCUCUCGGGUGACGAGUGGCGGACGGGUGAGUAAUGUCUGGGAAACUGCCUGAUGGAGGGGGAUAACUACUGGAAACGGUAGCUAAUACCGCAUAACGUCGCAAGACCAAAGAGGGGGACCUUCGGGCCUCUUGCCCUCAGAUGUGCCCAGAUGGGAUUAGCUUGUAGGCGGGGUAAUGGCCCACCUAGGCGACGAUCCCUAGCUGGGCUGAGAGGAUGACCAGCAACACUGGAACUGAGACACGGUCCAGACUCCUACGGGAGGCAGCAGUGGGGAAUAUUGCACAAUGGGCGCAAGCCUGAUGCAGCCAUGCCGCGUGUGUGAAGAAGGCCUUCGGGUUGUAAAGCACUUUCAGCGGGGAGGAAGGCGGUACGGUUAAUAACCGUGCCGAUUGACGUUACCCGCAGAAGAAGCACCGGCUAACUCCGUGCCAGCAGCCGCCGUAA
This 504-nucleotide ribosomal RNA is filed under the name uncultured bacterium. RNAcentral describes it as "partial 16S ribosomal RNA". It matches the Rfam family "Bacterial small subunit ribosomal RNA", at positions 29 to 523 of the family's 1533-position model. The record is from RNAcentral.